UACGGGGGGAGCAAGCGUUGUUCGGAAUUACUGGGCGUAAAGGGCGCGUAGGCGGUCCGAUAAGUCCUGUGUGAAAUCCCUCGGCUCAACUGAGGAAUUGCACGGGAGACUGUCGGGCUUGAGUUCGGGAGAGGGAAGCGGAAUUCCGGGUGUAGCGGUGAAAUGCGUGGAUAUCCGGAGGAACACCGGUGGCGAAGGCGGCUUCCUGGACCGACACUGACGCUGAGGCGCGAAAGCUAGGGGAGCAAACGGG
Molecule: ribosomal RNA, 253 nt
Filed under: uncultured bacterium
Lineage: Bacteria
Description: partial 16S ribosomal RNA
Rfam family: Bacterial small subunit ribosomal RNA
Source: RNAcentral